GGCUUCGUGGUUUAGUGGUAUAAUUCUCGCUUAGGGUGCGAGAGGUCCCGGGUUCGAUCCCCGGCGAAGCCC
This 72-nucleotide transfer RNA is filed under the name Epichloe festucae E2368. Its description in RNAcentral is "tRNA-Pro (AGG) (tRNA-Pro-AGG-1-1, tRNA-Pro-AGG-1-2)". It matches the Rfam family "tRNA". From Rfam's summary of the family: Transfer RNA (tRNA) molecules are approximately 80 nucleotides in length. Their secondary structure includes four short double-helical elements and three loops (D, anti-codon, and T loops). Further hydrogen bonds mediate the characteristic L-shaped molecular structure. tRNAs have two regions of fundamental functional importance: the anti-codon, which is responsible for specific mRNA codon recognition, and the 3' end, to which the tRNAs corresponding amino acid is attached (by aminoacyl-tRNA synthetases). tRNAs cope with the degeneracy of the genetic code in two manners: having more than one tRNA (with a specific anti-codon) for a particular amino acid; and 'wobble' base-pairing, i.e. permitting non-standard base-pairing at the 3rd anti-codon position. Lineage: Eukaryota; Fungi; Ascomycota; Sordariomycetes; Hypocreales; Clavicipitaceae. RNAcentral also lists the same sequence under 1 other name. The record is from RNAcentral.